ACACCGGCAGCUCUAGUGGUAGCUGUUUUUAUUGGGCCUAAAGCGUUCGUAGCCGGUUUGAUAAGUCACUGGUGAAAUCCUGUAGCUUAACUGUGGGACUUGCUGGAGAUACUGUUGACCUUGAGGUCGGGAGAGGUAAGCGGUAUUCCCAGGGUAGAGGUGAAAUUCUGUAAUCCUGGGAGGACCACCUGUGGCGAAGGGGGCUAACUGGAACGAACCUGACGGUGAGGGACGAAAGCUAGGGGCGCGAACCGGAUUAGAUACCCGGGUAGGCCUAGCCGUAAACGAUGCGGACUUGGUGUUGGGAUGGCUUUGAGCCGCUCCGGUGCCGAAGGGAAGCUGUUAAGUCCGCCGCCUGGGAAGUACGGUCGCAAGACUGAAACUUAAAGGAAUUGACGGGG
RNAcentral lists this ribosomal RNA (401 nucleotides) under uncultured bacterium. Its description in RNAcentral is "partial 16S ribosomal RNA". It matches the Rfam family "Archaeal small subunit ribosomal RNA", at positions 473 to 873 of the family's 1478-position model. The record is from RNAcentral.